GUUUGAUGGCCUUGUGUCAUUCUCUCUAGCUUUUGCAACGACCACUGCUUUCUUUAUAGCACCAUCACCUAUUGCUAGUCGCCCAUGGGGCAUGCCACCACUGGAGGAGUACAUGACUUCUGGAUCGAGAUCACGGUCCUUCUAAUGUAGUGGAUCUGCUACUUUCAGAGCUGUGUAAUAGGUGUUCUGAAACAGUGAACAAUAACAAUAUCUCGCUAUUAAUUUCAGAUUAACAAGUUUCGAAGUUCUGAAGGCAGAGCAAACAUGCAUGAACUUACAAGACACUCGUUGACCUUAGUGUUGUUGAUGGGGCCACUUUC
Molecule: long non-coding RNA, 320 nt
Filed under: Triticum aestivum (bread wheat)
Lineage: Eukaryota; Viridiplantae; Streptophyta; Magnoliopsida; Poales; Poaceae
Description: long non-coding RNA (TAES_LNC017311)
Source: RNAcentral